UGAGGAAUAUUCCACAAUGGGAACCGGACUGAUGGAGCGAUGCCGCGUGCAGGAAGACGCUUUUCGGAGUGUAAACUGCUUUUAAUAGGGAAGAUUAUGACGGUACCUAUAGAAUAAGGACCGGCUAACUACGUGCCAGCAGCCGCGGUAAUACGUAGGGUCCAAGCGUUAUUCGGAAUUACUGGGCGUAAAGCGUACGUAGGCGGUCAGAUAAGUUGGAUGUGAAAUCCUGUGGCUCAACCACAUGGAC
RNAcentral lists this ribosomal RNA (250 nucleotides) under uncultured bacterium. Its description in RNAcentral is "partial 16S ribosomal RNA". It matches the Rfam family "Bacterial small subunit ribosomal RNA", at positions 355 to 622 of the family's 1533-position model. The record is from RNAcentral.